Molecule: ribosomal RNA, 608 nt
Filed under: Cicindela iberica
Lineage: Eukaryota; Metazoa; Arthropoda; Insecta; Coleoptera; Carabidae
Description: partial 16S ribosomal RNA
Rfam family: Bacterial large subunit ribosomal RNA
Source: RNAcentral
AGGUCUAACCUGCCCAAUGAGGAAUUAAAUGGCCGCAGUAUUUUGACUGUGCANAGGUAGCAUAAUUAUUAGUUUUUUAAUUGAAAGCUUGUAUGAAGGGUUGGACGAGAUAAAAUCUGUCUUUAUUUAAAUUAUAAUAGAAUUUAACUUUUAAGUCAAAAGGCUUAAAUGUAUGUAAAAGACGAGAAGACCCUAUAGAUCUUUAUUUAACUAAUAUUUUGAUAAUUUAGGAUUAUUUUAGUUUAAAGUUUUAGUUAAAUUUUAUUGGGGUAAUAUAAAGAUUAAAUAAAUUCUUUUUAUUUAUUACAUUGAUUUAUGAAUAUAUGAUCCAAUAUUAUUGAUUAUAAGAUUAAGUUACCUUAGGGAUAACAGCGUAAUUUUUUUGGAGAGCUCAUAUCGAUAAAAAAGUUUGCGACCUCGAUGUUGGAUUAAAAAUUAGCUUGGGUGCAGAAGCUCAAGAUUUUGGUCUGUUCGACCAUUAAAUUUUUACAUGAUCUGAGUUCAGACCGGCGUAAGCCAGGUCGGUUUCUAUCUUUAUUUAUCUAAAAUAUUUUAGUACGAAAGGACCAAAUAUUUAAUAUAAUUAUAUUUAUUUUUUGAAUAAUAUU